AACACAGCGCAGCUUGUGCAAGGCAAUUACUGCACUUCCUAUAGGGAAACCAAAAUGGUGCUGUUGGCUGUACUGGGCAAGGCCUUUCUGGACGGAGAACAGAAAAUACAGAAUCAGCUAUAUUUUUGGCUGGCAUGUGAUGAUAUCCUGGGGAGACUGAUGGGUAGAUAGAGAAGUGCAUAUAUCUUUGCUCUUAUUUACACCAAGGUAAGUCAAAAAUGUGUAAAAAGCACUGGAAAACACAAGAUGAGGUAAAGACUUUGAGGACACCUUCUAGAGCAUAGGCUCAUUAUUUUGCAUGCUUUUUUUGCUAUUUGGGCCAUGUCAUCUUUAUGUUUGUCCACGAACAAAU
Long non-coding RNA from Gallus gallus (chicken), 352 nucleotides. Lineage: Eukaryota; Metazoa; Chordata; Aves; Galliformes; Phasianidae. The record is from Ensembl.